UCCGCCUGCCUCUGCCUCCCGAGUGCUGGGAUUAAAGGCGUGCGCCACCACCGCCCGGCUAAUUAUUAUUCAUUUAUUUUUGCAGUAGUGGAGUUUGAAACUAGGGCUCAUGCAUGGCAGGUGCUCUAUACUGAGUUAUAUCCCUAGCCAUUUUUCUAUUUUGAGACAGGGUUUCACUUGAACUCUCUUUCUAGUCCACAGUGCCCUUGAACUCAUGACUCUCCUGCCUCAGCCUCCCGAAUAGCUGGGAUUACAGGACUAUGCCACUAGACCUGGCCGUCCCCACAUUUUAAUUGCCAGCUAUGGCAGUAUCCUACCUUUAGGUAAAAUCUAUUUUAGUUAUCUACUGCUGCAUGUUACAGUUUGUUCUCACCAAAACUUUUGAAAUUUGAUUCCUUGUAUGGAUUAAUGUCCUUCUCUAGACACUGCCUUAUUUCUCCAGGGAAUGGGUUGUAAAGCUUCGCGCCUCCCUUGGGGACUUCUUGAAUAUGUGUUCUGCUCAUACUCCCCUUCUCCUUUUACUCUUCCAUUAUGCUACAACAAUUGUUUUGUUUUGAGAUAGGGUUUCUUUGUGUAGGCCUGGUUGCCCUGGAACUAGCUGUGUAGACUAGGCUGGCUUUGAACUCACAGAGAUCCACCUGCCUCUGCCUCCUGAGUGCUGGGAUUAAAGGCAUGUGCAACCACUGCAUGGCAUGCUACAAUGUAUUUUAAGACCAUCCAGGACUCAAACAUUUUCAGCCUCCUAAUCUCAAGACUUUUAGCCUUGAGUACUGUGAGCUAAGUAAAGCUCUGUUCAUUGAGUCAUUCAGUGUCAGGUGUUCUGUUAUAGAAAUGAGAAACACACAAGACCCUGCAUUACCAAGUAACACAAGGCUGGCAGCCUAAAUGAACAAAUAUUUGGUUCCCCACCCCCUGGUUUCUACUGGUGAGGAGUUGGACUACAAAAACAAUAAAAAAGCAUAUUGGAAAGUUAAAGAACCCAGGUCCUUCACCUUUGGUAGUUUUCCAAGUGCUGUCAUAGAAGACGUCAUUGGCAUACCAGGUACUCGGCUCUAUGUGCCCUCUACCCAGUUACAGUUGCCACUUCAACAAUUCUUCCAUCUCAUGACAUUGACCCCUUUCGACAGGAUAAGGACACUGAGAGUUUUCAGGGUCAGUUAAUUUCUGUGACAAGUCUGUUUUGUUACCACGAUGCGAAGCUGAGGAACAUGAGUGCCUGCAUCUGGUUUGACAUCAGGGUGUCUCCAGACUGAUCCCAUGUGGUUCACCAACACCAACGUCCUCAAAUCUAACCCAUCCUCCGAACCAGGAGCUCUCCAACACUGGAGAUGUUCAUGAGUACACGCUCGGUGCCGCCAAGGCGACUGCUUACAGAGGGAUGCUCUUUGGGAUGUGAUGGAAUGGUGGCUCCUUAAAGAAAUGAGUUCCAGUGAUGCUCCUCGAUGGUUGAGUCAGACCAUUGUCCUCUCACGGGAACCCCCCAGCUGUGUAAACAUCAUAGAAACUGACUGGUCCAAUUCACAGACACGAAAAUCCACCCACUGAAUGGUGGAUGUCAGGACAAGAGAGAAUGAAGUGGGGAGUUCCUGAUCAGCCGCUGUGAAGUUUCACCUGCAGAAGGUAAAAGAGCCUUGGAAGUAGAUGAUGAGGGAGCAUUGAGGAGGUCUGAA
Molecule: non-coding RNA, 1670 nt
Organism: Peromyscus maniculatus bairdii (prairie deer mouse)
Lineage: Eukaryota; Metazoa; Chordata; Mammalia; Rodentia; Cricetidae
Source: RefSeq, a predicted model, not a curated record